GGCCCCAUAGUCUAGAGGUUAGGACAUUGGGUUUUCAUCCCAAAAACCAGGGUUCGAUUCCCUGUGGGGUCACCA
RNAcentral lists this transfer RNA (75 nucleotides) under Patescibacteria group bacterium. RNAcentral describes it as "tRNA-Glu". It matches the Rfam family "tRNA". Rfam says of the family: Transfer RNA (tRNA) molecules are approximately 80 nucleotides in length. Their secondary structure includes four short double-helical elements and three loops (D, anti-codon, and T loops). Further hydrogen bonds mediate the characteristic L-shaped molecular structure. tRNAs have two regions of fundamental functional importance: the anti-codon, which is responsible for specific mRNA codon recognition, and the 3' end, to which the tRNAs corresponding amino acid is attached (by aminoacyl-tRNA synthetases). tRNAs cope with the degeneracy of the genetic code in two manners: having more than one tRNA (with a specific anti-codon) for a particular amino acid; and 'wobble' base-pairing, i.e. permitting non-standard base-pairing at the 3rd anti-codon position. The record is from RNAcentral.